Molecule: ribosomal RNA, 449 nt
Filed under: uncultured bacterium
Lineage: Bacteria
Description: partial 16S ribosomal RNA
Rfam family: Bacterial small subunit ribosomal RNA
Source: RNAcentral
AGCGAACGCUGGCGGCAGGCCUAACACAUGCAAGUCGAACGGAUCCUUCGGGAUUAGUGGCGGACGGGUGAGUAACACGUGGGAACGUGCCCUUUGGUUCGGAACAACUCAGGGAAACUUGAGCUAAUACCGGAUGUGCCCUUCGGGGGAAAGAUUUAUCGCCAUUGGAGCGGCCCGCGUCUGAUUAGCUAGUUGGUGAGGUAAAGGCUCACCAAGGCGACGAUCAGUAGCUGGUCUGAGAGGAUGAGCAGCCACAUUGGGACUGAGACACGGCCGAAACUCCUACGGACGGCAGCAGUGGGGAAUCUUGCGCAAUGGGCGAAAGCCUGACGCAGCAAUGCCGCGUGAAUGAUGAAGGUCUUAGGAUUGUAAAAUUCUUUCACCGGGGACGAUAAUGACGGUACCCGGAGAAGAAGCCCCGGCUAACUUCGUGCCAGCCGCCGCGGUAA